AUCCAACUGAGGAGUCCCAAACAGGACGAAAUGCGCGUCCUGGAU
Molecule: non-coding RNA, 45 nt
Organism: Schistosoma mansoni
Lineage: Eukaryota; Metazoa; Platyhelminthes; Trematoda; Strigeidida; Schistosomatidae
Source: Rfam